UCGCCUUCGCGGCGGGGGAGCGGUACCGCGCCCGCUUCUACGGGCUGAUGCUGCUGUUCGCGGCGGCGAUGGCGGUC
This 77-nucleotide transfer RNA is filed under the name Mycobacterium tuberculosis. Its description in RNAcentral is "tRNA-???(tc)". The record is from RNAcentral. Lineage: Bacteria; Bacillati; Actinomycetota; Actinomycetes; Mycobacteriales; Mycobacteriaceae.